UUAAGCGACUAAGCGUACACGGUGGAUGCCCUGGCAAUCAGAGGCGAUGAAGGACGUGCUAAUCUGCGAUAAGCGUCGGUGAGGUGAUAUGAACCGUUAUAACCGGCGAUUUCCGAAUGGGGAAACCCAGUGUGAUUCGUCACACUAUCAUUAACUGAAUCCAUAGGUUAAUGAGGCGAACCGGGGGAACUGAAACAUCUAAGUACCCCGAGGAAAAGAAAUCAACCGAGAUUCCCCCAGUAGCGGCGAGCGAACGGGGAGGAGCCCAGAGCCUGAAUCAGUGUGUGUGUUAGUGGAAGCGUCUGGAAAGGCGUGCGAUACAGGGUGACAGCCCCGUACACAAAAAUGCACAUACUGUGAGCUCGAUGAGUAGGGCGGGACACGUGGUAUCCUGUCUGAAUAUGGGGGGACCAUCCUCCAAGGCUAAAUACUCCUGACUGACCGAUAGUGAACCAGUACCGUGAGGGAAAGGCGAAAAGAACCCCGGCGAGGGGAGUGAAAAAGAACCUGAAACCGUGUACGUACAAGCAGUGGGAGCCUCUUAAUGGGGUGACUGCGUACCUUUUGUAUAAUGGGUCAGCGACUUAUAUUCUGUAGCAAGGUUAACCGAAUAGGGGAGCCGAAGGGAAACCGAGUCUUAACUGGGCGUUAAGUUGCAGGGUAUAGACCCGAAACCCGGUGAUCUAGCCAUGGGCAGGUUGAAGGUUGGGUAACACUAACUGGAGGACCGAACCGACUAAUGUUGAAAAAUUAGCGGAUGACUUGUGGCUGGGGGUGAAAGGCCAAUCAAACCGGGAGAUAGCUGGUUCUCCCCGAAAGCUAUUUAGGUAGCGCCUCGUGAAUUCAUCUCCGGGGGUAGAGCACUGUUUCGGCAAGGGGGUCAUCCCGACUUACCAACCCGAUGCAAACUGCGAAUACCGGAGAAUGUUAUCACGGGAGACACACGGCGGGUGCUAACGUCCGUCGUGAAGAGGGAAACAACCCAGACCGCCAGCUAAGGUCCCAAAGUCAUGGUUAAGUGGGAAACGAUGUGGGAAGGCCCAGACAGCCAGGAUGUUGGCUUAGAAGCAGCCAUCAUUUAAAGAAAGCGUAAUAGCUCACUGGUCGAGUCGGCCUGCGCGGAAGAUGUAACGGGGCUAAACCAUGCACCGAAGCUGCGGCAGCGACACUAUGUGUUGUUGGGUAGGGGAGCGUUCUGUAAGCCUGUGAAGGUGUACUGUGAGGUAUGCUGGAGGUAUCAGAAGUGCGAAUGCUGACAUAAGUAACGAUAAAGCGGGUGAAAAGCCCGCUCGCCGGAAGACCAAGGGUUCCUGUCCAACGUUAAUCGGGGCAGGGUGAGUCGACCCCUAAGGCGAGGCCGAAAGGCGUAGUCGAUGGGAAACAGGUUAAUAUUCCUGUACUUGGUGUUACUGCGAAGGGGGGACGGAGAAGGCUAUGUUGGCCGGGCGACGGUUGUCCCGGUUUAAGCGUGUAGGCUGGUUUUCCAGGCAAAUCCGGAAAAUCAAGGCUGAGGCGUGAUGACGAGGCACUACGGUGCUGAAGCAACAAAUGCCCUGCUUCCAGGAAAAGCCUCUAAGCAUCAGGUAACAUCAAAUCGUACCCCAAACCGACACAGGUGGUCAGGUAGAGAAUACCAAGGCGCUUGAGAGAACUCGGGUGAAGGAACUAGGCAAAAUGGUGCCGUAACUUCGGGAGAAGGCACGCUGAUAUGUAGGUGAAGUCCCUCGCGGAUGGAGCUGAAAUCAGUCGAAGAUACCAGCUGGCUGCAACUGUUUAUUAAAAACACAGCACUGUGCAAACACGAAAGUGGACGUAUACGGUGUGACGCCUGCCCGGUGCCGGAAGGUUAAUUGAUGGGGUUAGCGGUAACGCGAAGCUCUUGAUCGAAGCCCCGGUAAACGGCGGCCGUAACUAUAACGGUCCUAAGGUAGCGAAAUUCCUUGUCGGGUAAGUUCCGACCUGCACGAAUGGCGUAAUGAUGGCCAGGCUGUCUCCACCCGAGACUCAGUGAAAUUGAACUCGCUGUGAAGAUGCAGUGUACCCGCGGCAAGACGGAAAGACCCCGUGAACCUUUACUAUAGCUUGACACUGAACAUUGAGCCUUGAUGUGUAGGAUAGGUGGGAGGCUUUGAAGUGUGGACGCCAGUCUGCAUGGAGCCGGCCUUGAAAUACCACCCUUUAAUGUUUGAUGUUCUAACGUUGGCCCCUGACCGGGGUUGCGGACAGUGUCUGGUGGGUAGUUUGACUGGGGCGGUCUCCUCCUAAAGAGUAACGGAGGAGCACGAAGGUUGGCUAAUCCUGGUCGGACAUCAGGAGGUUAGUGCAAUGGCAUAAGCCAGCUUGACUGCGAGCGUGACGGCGCGAGCAGGUGCGAAAGCAGGUCAUAGUGAUCCGGUGGUUCUGAAUGGAAGGGCCAUCGCUCAACGGAUAAAAGGUACUCCGGGGAUAACAGGCUGAUACCGCCCAAGAGUUCAUAUCGACGGCGGUGUUUGGCACCUCGAUGUCGGCUCAUCACAUCCUGGGGCUGAAGUAGGUCCCAAGGGUAUGGCUGUUCGCCAUUUAAAGUGGUACGCGAGCUGGGUUUAGAACGUCGUGAGACAGUUCGGUCCCUAUCUGCCGUGGGCGCUGGAGAACUGAGGGGGGCUGCUCCUAGUACGAGAGGACCGGAGUGGACGCAUCACUGGUGUUCGGGUUGUCAUGCCAAUGGCACUGCCCGGUAGCUAAAUGCGGAAGAGAUAAGUGCUGAAAGCAUCUAAGCACGAAACUUGCCCCGAGAUGAGUUCUCCCUGACUCCUUGAGAGUCCUGAAGGAACGUUGAAGACGACGACGUUGAUAGGCCGGGUGUGUAAGCGCAGCGAUGCGUUGAGCUAACCGGUACUAAUGAACCGUGAGGCUUAACCUU
RNAcentral lists this ribosomal RNA (2902 nucleotides) under Escherichia coli. RNAcentral's name for it is "bacterial LSU rRNA". It matches the Rfam family "Bacterial large subunit ribosomal RNA". The record is from RNAcentral. Lineage: Bacteria; Pseudomonadati; Pseudomonadota; Gammaproteobacteria; Enterobacterales; Enterobacteriaceae.